Molecule: non-coding RNA, 31 nt
Filed under: Mus musculus (house mouse)
Lineage: Eukaryota; Metazoa; Chordata; Mammalia; Rodentia; Muridae
Source: RNAcentral
UGGGUNCUUAGAUCUGAACUCUAUUCCUCUG